Molecule: transfer RNA, 77 nt
Filed under: Parvularcula marina
Lineage: Bacteria; Pseudomonadati; Pseudomonadota; Alphaproteobacteria; Parvularculales; Parvularculaceae
Description: Parvularcula sp. SM1705 tRNA-Ile
Rfam family: tRNA
About the family: Transfer RNA (tRNA) molecules are approximately 80 nucleotides in length. Their secondary structure includes four short double-helical elements and three loops (D, anti-codon, and T loops).
Source: RNAcentral
GCGCUGGUAGCUCAGUUGGUUAGAGCGCACGACUGAUAAUCGUGAGGUCGGAGGUUCAAAUCCUCCUCGGCGCACCA